GUCUUUGCUUCGGCAAGACAUAUACUAAAUUUGGAACGAUACAGAGAAGAUUAGCAUGACC
RNAcentral lists this small nuclear RNA (61 nucleotides) under Anopheles culicifacies. The record is from RNAcentral. Lineage: Eukaryota; Metazoa; Arthropoda; Insecta; Diptera; Culicidae.